UCCGAUAUGGUGUAGUGGCCAACAUGAUGCCCUCUCAAGUAACCGAGAGGUCAGGCAUAGCCCCGAGUUCGAUUCUCGGUUUCGGAA
This 87-nucleotide transfer RNA is filed under the name Colletotrichum navitas. Its description in RNAcentral is "tRNA-Glu". It matches the Rfam family "tRNA". Rfam says of the family: Transfer RNA (tRNA) molecules are approximately 80 nucleotides in length. Lineage: Eukaryota; Fungi; Ascomycota; Sordariomycetes; Glomerellales; Glomerellaceae. The record is from RNAcentral.